Molecule: long non-coding RNA, 4127 nt
Organism: Oreochromis niloticus (Nile tilapia)
Lineage: Eukaryota; Metazoa; Chordata; Actinopteri; Cichliformes; Cichlidae
Product: UV excision repair protein RAD23 homolog B
Exons: 11
Source: RefSeq, a predicted model, not a curated record
AGCAGUAGAUGGCGUGGGUGGCCAGCAUGCUCAGCGGCACUAAGACAGCUGAGUCACACAUAUAUACAGAGCCGGAAAAAUACUGACAAAAAAGAGCUGCUAUUGUUGAGAAAUUCUACCGAGUCCACUGUUGUCCGAGAACCACCGGCCUGUGACACGAUCAGGAAAGAUGCUAACUAUAACACUGAAGACACUCCAACAGCAGACGUUCAGAAUCGAAAUAGACCCAGAACUGACGAUUGCUUACUUGUUCUUGGGGGUGACCUCAGCUUUGGACUAAAUGAAGAAAUGGACAGCUGAAUUCAGCAGGAACUCAGCGCAAUUGGCUGUCCACAAAUAUAGUUAAACAGUACAUGAUCAAUUUCAGACUUUGCGAUGCAUGGCAUUCCCUCCACCCUAACCGUGAAAGCCCUGAAGGAGAAAAUAGAAGAGCACAGAGGUAAAGAUGCAUUUCCUUCAGUGGGACAGAAACUCAUCUAUGCAGGCAAAAUCUUAAACGAUGAUAUCCCACUGAAAGAGUACAAAAUCGAUGAGAAGAACUUUGUGGUGGUCAUGGUUACCAAGCCCAAACCAACCUCUCCUGCUGAAGCAGCCACUCACUCAGUUCCCACGCCAGCUGCAACUCCAGUGCCACCCCCAGCUGCAGCCCCAGCACCAGCCUCUGGCCCAAAACAGGUGCCCUCCACACCAACACACACAACGUCCGCUGCUGUACCUGCCUCACAGUCAGUGCCUCCCUCGGAAGCCCCGCCCUCUGUUCAAGAAAACACCACUGUGGCUUCUGUUGGCGCAACAGCAAAACCCACCUUGGACUCACACUCAGAAUCAGCUCCGGCCUCUGGUUCCACAGCCCCUGUUGCCUCUUCCACAGCUCCUGAAGCUGUAGAGGAAGCCCCCGCAUUAGUCCCUUCAGAUAGCCCCACCCCUGCUGCCCAGACAGAAGAAGAGCUGAGGGAAGACCCAGAGAAUGAACCAUCUGACACAGCACCAGUCCAGUCCUCUGCUUCAAGCCUCGUUGAUGAACUGGGUCUUCUUGAAGAAGCAGCAUCAAUACUGGUGACUGGACCAGAAUAUGAAAACCUGGUGUCAGAGAUUAUGUCGAUAGGAUAUGAGCGGGAGCAAGUUGUUGCUGCACUAAGAGCCAGUUACAACAACCCAGACAGAGCAGUGGAGUACUUGCUCAUGGGUAUUCCAGCAAGGGCUAGUGAUCUGCACAAUCCACAGCCAAGUAGACAUAGUACUCCAGCCAACCCCUCUACACCUUCUACAGAAGAACCGCCACAGCAGCCUCCAGCACCCCCCAGUAGGCCUGUGUCCGGCAGCCAGCCUGUCACUGCUGGAGGAGGGUCUGGCUCCAUAGGGAACCCUCUGGAGUUCCUGAGGAACCAGCCUCAGUUCCAGCAGAUGAGACAGAUCAUCCAGCAGAACCCAGCCCUCCUGCCAGCCCUGCUGCAACAGCUCGGGAGAGACAACCCACAGCUGCUGCAGCAAAUCACAGAGCACCAGGAGCGUUUUGUACAGAUGCUCAAUGAGCCACAAGCUGGAGAUACAGGAGGAGAAGAUGCUGAUGCCCAUGGGUCACCACACACUAACUACAUCCAGGUCACCCCACAGGAGAAAGAGGCGAUUGAGAGGUUAAAAGCACUGGGAUUCCCUGAAGGUUUAGUCAUCCAGGCGUACUUUGCUUGUGAGAAGAAUGAGAAUCUAGCCGCUAACUUCCUGCUACAGCAAACAUGGGACGAUGAGUAAGCCCACAUCACCUGGCUCAUCACUGCUCAACAGAGGGCUGCAGAGUGGAUGACACCACUGCAAGUCUACCAGGGAGAAACAAGGGCAGGAGAGGAAGGGGAUAUUUCUUUUCACACCAUGAGACUGUGGCCAUUAAAUGAUGAUGAUGAUGAUGAUGACAAUGAUGACAUGGUGUUCAAAGUUAGUUGCGCUGCCUACUCUUCAUUCAGCUAUGAUGAUCAUCAUAGGUGCUACCACUGAGCGUUGCCUCACUGCUACUACAUCAUUACUGCUGACGCUUGUAUUGAGUGACCACACUGACAGAAGUCCCACCAGUAAAUUUGCAAACAUCACAGACCAGCAGGAUUUAAGUUAGAGGAUUUCCUCUGCAGUGAGCUCACAGGCUGCCUGUUGAACAUGUUAAACUACUGUACAUGUGUAUAGUAAGGUAAUAUAUAAUAAAUGAGGAAAAAAUGCAUUUUCAACAUGCGACCCUACAUGUUGGAGUUUCCUGAACAUUUGACUAAAACUGUUCACCUCACUGUUUGGAAGCUACUAUUGAUUUAGAUCAAAGCUCAUAUUGGAUCCUCUCACUUCUGCUGCUUCUUUUGUCCAUGCAAAAAGUCUUUGCACAUUCUUUCAAAUUCUUCUAUUGGUGUCUGACCGUGUAGAUGUGUAAAAGGUGACUGAGUGUCACAGCUGGAUAGUUGAAAUGUUGACACCUAUGUAACCGUUCCCCAAAAAGGAGAAAUGAUAAAAUGUUUUAAUUGAGAUCAUUUAAAUUUGAAUUAAAUGUAGAAAUGUUAAUGUCCUCUGUCUUUUACAAGUCGAGACUAUCUCAAAGUUUUGUCUUUUUGAUGACUGACUUACUCAGUCUGUUGCAUUAAAAAUGCACAUCUGAUAAUAUCAUAAAGAGUUCAGUGCAAUUAGGGUUAGAGAAACUCAUUUUCCACAAGACACCUGUUAAGUCAGAAUGAAUCACUCACACAAGUGCAGUUAAACUGUUGUUGCCUUGUUAAGGAAAGCUCUGGGGACAGCUGAUAAUAAUGAUAAUAAGGCAAAUAAAGAAUAAGUGAUGUAAUUUGUCGUCUGCUGUUGCUGCUUCUCCUCUUCCUUCUCCGCCAAGCAUUUGAGGUUUUAGUAGCUCCUCCCUGGGUCUGCUCUUGUGCCCUGCAUUUUGACUUAAAGGUGUGUUGUUGUUUUUUUUGUUUUGUUUUUUUUUGUUUUGUUUUGUUUUGGUUUCUUUCUUUUUUUUCAGUUUUUUGUGAUGGUGUGAUUGAGUCACUGCAGUUUGGUACUUUAUUUUAGUGUCAUUACAUUAUUAGUACAAACUGCAUCUAUUAGUUACAUUUUUUCUUGAUGGUUUGGAUAAGUAAUAUUUUACUUUAUGUAAUAUUAGGGGCAAGGGUUAAUUUAUACAUUUCAGUCAAUAAAAUAAACUUAAGGAUGAUUCAUAGAGCAGACAAAUCCUGAAAGUACAGAAAUAUACACGAUACUUUCCCCAGCUGACCCAAGGGAGACUCCUGUUUUUUAUUUACUCUCAAUGAUUGCUGUUUUAAUUUGACAUUCUCACAUUUAUAUUGGAGAAAUGAUAAGAAACUGUAGGCAUUCAUUGGUCUUAUAUAAUAGAGCAGUUAACUUCACUACCCACUGAAAUACAUUUGUCAUUCACCAAGACAACGAGAAAGCCUUUUUAGGUUCGUACUGGGAGGGAAAACUAUGUUUGUGCUUUUUCUGCAUAGAAUAAACUUCUAGGAGGUUUUAACUAGUUUUUUUUUUUAACCACUUUUGUUAGAUUGGACCUUACAUUACUAUUCGUGUAGCCAUAAAGGGAAAAAAAUAUGAAAAUGUGAAACUUUCUGUCAACAAAGAAUCCAUGAAUUUCUUUUAAACAAUCAUUUUCUGUUCAGUGUUCUCAUAUCACAUCCUCUAUGCAUCUUGAAACUGGAAACGGGUUAAGCUGCUGUUCCUCCACACCUUACAGUCAAAGACUUCACCAUAUUUUAUUUUACAAAUAGUGUUCAUUUAAAAGUGGACUAAAAGAAAUGGGAAUGUUAAGUCGUUUUUCAGCAUCCAGUGUACUUGUGUUUCGACACACAAUUGUUCUGUAGCGUUGUUAAUGGGCGAAACUAUGUGAGCGAGAACUUGUAUUUUGCUGUGACAAAUGCUCCUUAGCUUGUUCCUUGCAAAAGAGUUUUAUUUAUGGCAUGCCUUUGGAUUAAGGAUUGAUAAAACUGCCAUUGUGGCAUCUCUCUGGUGUUAAUUUGUCUGUUGUUUUCUUUUUUUUGGGUCUAUAAGAAUUACUACCAACCUUAAAUGUGCGAGUUGAGAAGUAGUUGUGAUGGGUUUUUUUGUUUUGUUUAUGCGUUAUGUAUAUUAAAUGGCUUUUAAAAAAUGAA